UUGGUUAAGUUAGAAAGGGCGCACGGUGGAUGCCUUGGCACUAGGAGCCGAAGAAGGACGGGACUAACACCGAUAUGCUUUGGGGAGCUGUACGUAAGCGUUGAUCCAGAGAUUUCCGAAUGGGGGAACCCACUAUCUUUAGUCGGAUAGUAUCCUUACGUGAAUACAUAGCGUGAGGAAGGCAGACCCAGGGAACUGAAACAUCUAAGUACCUGGAGGAAGAGAAAGAAAAAUCGAUUUCCUGAGUAGCGGCGAGCGAAACGGAAAGAGCCCAAACCAAGAAGCUUGCUUCUUGGGGUUGUAGGACACUCUAUACGGAGUUACAAAAGAAAGUUAUAAAUGAAGCGGUCUGGAAAGGCCCGCCAAAGACGGUAACAGCCCGGUAGUUGAAAUAGCUUUCCCUCCAGAGUGGAUCCUGAGUACGGCGGAACACGUGAAAUUCCGUCGGAAUCCGGGAGGACCAUCUCCCAAGGCUAAAUACUCCCUAGUGACCGAUAGUGAACCAGUACCGUGAGGGAAAGGUGAAAAGCACCCCGGAAGGGGAGUGAAACAGUUCCUGAAACCGUGUGCCUACAAGUAGUUAGAGCCCGUUAAUGGGUGAUAGCGUGCCUUUUGUAGAAUGAACCGGCGAGUUACGAUUUGUUGCAAGGUUAAGCGGAAAAAGCGGAGCCGUAGCGAAAGCGAGUCUGAAUAGGGCGCAUAAGUAACAGGUCGUAGACCCGAAACCAGGUGAUCUACCCAUGUCCAGGAUGAAGGUAAGGUAAUACUUACUGGAGGUCCGAACCCACGCACGUUGAAAAGUGCGGGGAUGAGGUGUGGGUAGCGGAGAAAUUCCAAUCGAACUUGGAGAUAGCUGGUUCUCUCCGAAAUAGCUUUAGGGCUAGCCUCGAGGUAAAGAGUCAUGGAGGUAGAGCACUGUUUGGACUAGGGGCCCUUCUCGGGUUACCGAAUUCAGAUAAACUCCGAAUGCCAUGUACUUAUACUCGGGAGUCAGACUGCGAGUGAUAAGAUCCGUAGUCGAAAGGGAAACAGCCCAGACCACCAGUUAAGGUCCCCAAAUAUAUGUUAAGUGGAAAAGGAUGUGGGGUUGCUUAGACAACCAGGAUGUUGGCUUAGAAGCAGCCACCAUUGAAAGAGUGCGUAAUAGCUCACUGGUCGAGUGACCCCGCGCCGAAAAUGUACCGGGGCUAAACAUAUUACCGAAACUGUGGAUGAACCUCUUUAGAGGUUCGUGGUAGGAGAGCGUUCUAAGGGCGGUGAAGUCAGACCGGAAGGACUGGUGGAGCGCUUAGAAGUGAGAAUGCCGGUAUGAGUAGCGAAAGAAGGGUGAGAAUCCCUUCCACCGAAUAUCUAAGGUUUCCUGAGGAAGGCUCGUCCGCUCAGGGUUAGUCGGGACCUAAGCCGAGGCCGAUAGGCGUAGGCGAUGGACAACAGGUAGAGAUUCCUGUACCAGUGCUAAUUGUUUAACCGAUGGGGUGACACAGAAGGAUAGGGAAUCGCACGAAUGGAAAUGUGCGUCCAAGCAGUGAGUGUGAGAAGUAGGCAAAUCCGCUUCUCGCGAAGCAUGAGCUGUGAUGGGGAAGGAAAUUAAGUACGGAAGUUCCUGAUUUCACGCUGUCAAGAAAAGCCUCUAGGAAGAGUAGUACUGCCCGUACCGCAAACCGACACAGGUAGAUGAGGAGAGAAUCCUAAGGUGAGCGAGAGAACUCUCGUUAAGGAACUCGGCAAAAUGACCCCGUAACUUCGGGAGAAGGGGUGCUCUAUUAGGGUGCAAGCCCGAGAGAGCCGCAGUGAAUAGGCCCAGGCGACUGUUUAGCAAAAACACAGGUCUCUGCAAAACCGUAAGGUGACGUAUAGGGGCUGACGCCUGCCCGGUGCUGGAAGGUUAAGAGGAGUGCUUAGCUUCGGCGAAGGUACGAAUUGAAGCCCCAGUAAACGGCGGCCGUAACUAUAACGGUCCUAAGGUAGCGAAAUUCCUUGUCGGGUAAGUUCCGACCCGCACGAAAGGCGCAACGAUCUGGGCACUGUCUCAACGAGAGACUCGGUGAAAUUAUAGUACCUGUGAAGAUGCAGGUUACCCGCGACAGGACGGAAAGACCCCGUGGAGCUUUACUGCAACCUGAUAUGGAAUGUUUGUACCGCUUGUACAGGAUAGGUAGGAGCCGAAGAGACGUGUGCGCUAGCAUACGAGGAGGCAAUGGUGGGAUACUACCCUGGCUGUAUGACCAUUCUAACCCGCCACGCUUAGCGCGUGGGGAGACAGU
Molecule: ribosomal RNA, 2264 nt
Filed under: Listeria monocytogenes
Lineage: Bacteria; Bacillati; Bacillota; Bacilli; Caryophanales; Listeriaceae
Description: bacterial LSU rRNA
Rfam family: Bacterial large subunit ribosomal RNA
Source: RNAcentral